AAUGGACGCAAGUCUGAUGGAGCAACGCCGCGUGAGUGAAGAAGGUUUUCGGAUCGUAAAGCUUUGUUGUUGGUGAAGAAGGAUAGAGGUAGUAACUGGCCUUUAUUUGACGGUAAUCAACCAGAAAGUCACGGCUAACUACGUGCCAGCAGCCGCGGUAAUACGUAGGUGGCAAGCGUUGUCCGGAUUUAUUGGGCGUAAAGCGAGCGCAGGCGGAAGAAUAAGUCUGAUGUGAAAGCCCUCGGCUUAACCGAGGAACUGCAUCGGAAACUGUUUUUCUUGAGUGCAGAAGAGGAGAGUGGAACUCCAUGUGUAGCGGUGGAAUGCGUAGAUAUAUGGAGGAACACCAGUGGCGAAGGCGGCUCUCUGGUCUGCAACUGACGCUGAGGCUCGAAAGCAUGGGUAGCGAA
Molecule: ribosomal RNA, 410 nt
Filed under: uncultured bacterium
Lineage: Bacteria
Description: bacterial SSU rRNA
Rfam family: Bacterial small subunit ribosomal RNA
Source: RNAcentral